Molecule: transfer RNA, 73 nt
Filed under: Patescibacteria group bacterium
Lineage: Bacteria
Description: tRNA-Ala
Rfam family: tRNA
About the family: Transfer RNA (tRNA) molecules are approximately 80 nucleotides in length. Their secondary structure includes four short double-helical elements and three loops (D, anti-codon, and T loops). Further hydrogen bonds mediate the characteristic L-shaped molecular structure. tRNAs have two regions of fundamental functional importance: the anti-codon, which is responsible for specific mRNA codon recognition, and the 3' end, to which the tRNAs corresponding amino acid is attached (by aminoacyl-tRNA synthetases). tRNAs cope with the degeneracy of the genetic code in two manners: having more than one tRNA (with a specific anti-codon) for a particular amino acid; and 'wobble' base-pairing, i.e. permitting non-standard base-pairing at the 3rd anti-codon position.
Source: RNAcentral
GGGCUCAUAGCGCAGUUGGUAGCGCGUCCGCAUGGCAUGCGGGAGGUCGUGGGUUCGAAUCCCACUGGGUCCA